CCGACCAGUCCCAUCCGCCGCCGCGCGCUCCCGAUCCGGAGGAGCAGCUCCUCCCACGCCCGAGCCCGCUGAACCCAGCCUAGCACCCGCGCCCACCGCCCCUGUGCAGGUCCGCCUCGUCGAAGAUCCACAUCGCGUCGCUGCCCGUUCAGGAUCCAACCUCAACGCCUCCUGGCUAGGCUUGAGGAACGCAUGCCGGGAGAGCCUCCGCCGCGCCGGUGGUAGCGGCGGCGAGGCCGACGCGCCAACGACCAUUGUUCAAGGGGCCAUGCAGGAUGUGCUUCCGCAUCACCCUCUCCUCCACUCCGACGGUGGCCUCGGACAGGGCAGGAAUUGGAUAACACGUCCACCACCUGAUCGAGCACAACCGCAACAGAGGAGGGCCACCUCUGCCUCGUCGUGCAGGAGAUGCUUCACUAGGGCUGAAGUCAUUGUCUGGUUCUUCUUCCUUCUAUGAUUCCAUUUUGAUUUUUUGCCGGUAGUUCAUGAUGUCGUUUCUCCACAAUCCUUACCGUGCUUGUGUAGAAGAACAGAUCCAAUUUUUCGAGAGAAACAUGCUUUGUUGAUCUGUUGCUGCUGCUCACGCAGGUGUCGGAGCAGGUGCUUCGUGACGGCUGGGUUUGUCUAUAGGUAUGUCCUUUUUGUGUUGAAUUUGAGCACAACUAGUCUGGUUUGUUUUAGCCUCAUUUGUUUUAGUACACGACCCGUUCCUUUGUCCAGAAUCUGGGUGGAAAGGACGUUCUUUCUCCAUCAUAUGGGCUGGUCCCAAAGAAUGCAAGUUUUGGAAGAUGAAACUGCUCAUUAAAGGCAGGACCAUUAGGGCCAUCCUCAAUAGGAAACAAAGGAAAGGUUUCCAGUGGGUUUCUCAGAUGAUCUUCUUCGCUCAUAGUCUUGGUCGAAUGUCAUCAGGUGUAGGCACACCUUCCUCAAUAGGCUUGAGAGGAGCACGAGGCUUCCUUGAUUUCUCUUAUACUGAUUGCUUUGGGGCACUUGUCUGACUAUCAUUUUUGCUGCCGGAACUCCUUCAGUGGGUUUCUAACUUUCGGGCACUAGGGCCCUUUCUUUCAGUGUAUUUCCUUCCGUUGGAGGCACAACGACCUCUUUCUCAGAUGCUCAGGGCACAACUGGUGGAGCAAUAACUUCUUGAGCCAUCGGCUCAACAGAUUUCUUUUCUUCCUCUUCCAAUCAUGGUGCAAUGGAACGAGGAGCAGGAUCAAUAUCCAUCUGGGCAGGGGCAUCAGAUGAUGUGACCUGGGUGGUUUUGUCUCUGGAAGCAUUUAACUCCCCCUCAUUCUUGUCAGUCUCCUCCUUAUUUGAGUCGGAGGGCUCAGCUUGCAUUUUUCUCGGAGGCGAUGGAUCUGCCUUCUCAACUUCAAUUUCCUCAUCAACAUCAUCAACAUGUGCUUGCUGCUCAGGCGAGGCAUUUCCUUCAUUAGUUUUUUCCAGGAAGAUAUCAACAACAUCAGGUUGUUCUUGAGCUGCUGGAGUAGGAAUGAUAACCUCCACAUGGUCAGCUUGCUGCAUUGGUUCAUCUUCAUGAGGUGGAGAUGGUGGAACCUGAUGUAAGGGAGUGAUGGAAUCAAGUGGAGCAUCAGCAGCAACAGUCUGAAGGCAGCGAUCUUUGUUUACUUUCGGAUAGCUAGCUCUCGGUUUAGCCUUCUGACGUUUUUCUUCUUUGAUUCUUCUGCGAGCAAGAUCCGCCUUGCGGUCAAUUUCCUCGUUUCUCCUGUCACACAACUGAGAUAACUUCAUGUGCAGCCACGAAUGCCAAUUAAUUUUAUUAUUCCGCAUGAGUCUGAGAGCCUUGGUGAUUUCAACAAUCUCUUUGUUCAGAUUAUUUCUUUCGAAUUCAGUGUUGGACUCUCUCCUCAUUUGCUUGAGAACUUGCUUGUCUUUGAUAGCUUGAUUCAGCUUCUUGGAGAUUUUCCUCAGCUCAAUGAAAUGUUUCGUUACCAUUUUGGUAACAUCGUCAGGUAAUCCCAGACGGCUGAGAUCAUCAGAUUUUGCAUCAUAUGCAGCACUGUCAAUAACAUCGAUCAUGAACUUGAAGUCAUUUGCUGUUCCUCUAUGGAAGCAGGAACACUAGGUUUGGCCUUCUUAGCAGAAGCAUCAGCUUUUCGUUCAGACUGCAGCUUUCUCUUCACUGCGGGUUUAGACAAGGAUCUUGGUGAUCUCCUUGGAGAGCGCAAAACUUUCACUAGUGAGGGGCUCUUAGACGGCUUGUUGAGAAUGGCAUGUUGAUCAUACAUGGGAAUUUCAUCAGCAGCAUCUUCGCUGGAUGACUCAUCAGACAAGUCAGAAACAACUUUCUUGGAUUUCUUGACAGUGGUUUUCUUUCGGGGAGCACGAGGGGAAACAUAUUUCGUGGACUUGCUUCCUUUGGAGGCAUAAGCAUGAUCUUUCUUCAUCUGGACGUCUUGCUGAGUUAGCGCAACGUUUUCAGCUUCGACUUGGUUUUUCUUCGCUUCCCUAGCAUCAUGCUUAGCUUUGGCUUUCGUCCUCUUAGCCACUUCCUCGGGAAAAUCAACGAUGAUUUUGAGGGAGUAGGGAUGAGAAUUUUGAGGCUAUGGUAGUCUGACUUUUUCGUCAUCGGGGCAAAAACAGCUUUCAGCAAUGCAGUCAUUCCACGGUGGUGUGAAGGCAAACAGAAUCUGAUACUUCUUGCAAACAUUUUCAUAGUUGUACCAUUUCUUUGCCCAGUGGCGGUGAAUCCUUUGAAGCCUGUUGUUGCGUUCAGUUGCUGAUUCACCAGGUGGAUUUCUGUAACUUUCUGGAUCAGACAUUUUAGAAGUGGUAUUCUUCUCUCUGCCACGAGCACCCUUUUUGGGAUUUCCAUCAGAGAAGAGGGUUAGGGUGUCUGUGACCAAUUCAUCCUCGGGCUGACUGUGAGCAGAGGGAGUUACUUGAUGUGAAGUGGAACUCCGUACGACCGAUCUUUCACGAAAGGAGCGGAUCCCGACUAAGGACACGAUGAACACUGGGAAGAACGGAGAGAAAACACAAGGGGAAACACUCAAGAACAAGUCCAAUCACACAUCCACUAGACAAUCAAACACACAAGAUCCACAAGGUACAUGAAUAACAAAGGGAAAGAUACAAGGUAAGGUUCAUCUCCAUGAGGAGGUCUUGAAGGGGGCCGCCCAAGAGGGGGUCUUGAUGAUAUAUCCCGCAGGAUCUUCUCCUAGAUGGAGGUCUUGGCCUCCAUAAGGAGUAGUAGUCUCUCUCUCUCUCAAGAGUAGAGUGGUACAAGGAGCAAAGCUCUCUAUCAAAUGAGCUAUCACUUUGCUAACCCUAGAAAGGAGGGGGGAAAAGUCUAUUUAUAGUCUAAGCCACGAAGGGGUAAGUGGGAGAGAGAUACAAGGCCAAAGGCCCGGCUACGCACAGGCAGGGUCGGACGUUCGGUCGCUCGCGGGGGUCUGGUCGUCCGGAGGGCGUCGGACUUCCGCUAAUAUCGUUCUGUCGCCGUGGCACCGGUCGUCCGGUCGGUGUCGUUCGUCCGUGCGCUGGGACUUGUCGGACGUCCGGCGUUCGUCGGUCGUCCGACCGCUAUAGCUUUCGUCGGUUGGACUUCUGGGCUGGCUGGAGCUCCAGGCGUCGGACGUCCGGCGUUGUCCGGUCGUCCGGUGGCUGUAGAUCGUCGGACGUCCGAUGGCUCGUCGGUCGUCCGGCCGCUGGGGACUCCGCAGCUCCGUCUUCUUCCGUCUUCGCUUCCACGCUUCCCUCACGGAUGGUGUAGUUGUUCCUUGGCGCUUGCACUCCUCCUCGUCAUCCGUGAAGCUCCGACGAUACCUAUGCAUGCACACGGGUGGAGUGUCAAGUAGUAUACCAUCCUCGAAGGGGUUAAGUGAACACGUGUAAAGGUGAAGAUUCACCUUUAUGUAUGAGAAGUAGCGGUCGCACGUGUCACUUGCCAAAUGGACUCUUGACAUGGUGAUGUCCAUAGGAUGCUCCGCAUCAUCUCCCCUCCCUUGGGAAAGAUCCGACCUCAGAUCGAAAACCAAAUCACCAUGGGAAAGAGAUGGCUUCGCCGUGUAGGAGUGGACGUUCACCAAGUACUUGUCAUCUAGAAACUCGAAGUGGGCACUCUCCAAUGUCGCACCGUCUAGUGAUUCCUUCAAAAGGAGCAAGAACAACAAACACUUGGAAAAACAAAUGUGGUUAGCGUUAGUGCAAAACCAAGCAUUCAAGAGGUAAUUCACCAAACAAGUGUCGUCAUCAUGCAAAGCAUAUGGUGUGACAAGGGAUUGUGACAUGGCAUGUAAGCAUAUCAAUCGAGCACAAGCAAAGAUAUCAUGGGGACAAGCAUGUAAAUGUGAGGUAGUGAUGCAAAUAUGUGUGUCAAGAUAAUAAGCAUCUACCUCAAGUUCAUAGCAAGCAUGGGCAAAGCGCUCAAUGAAAGGUCUAUGGUAGGCAUAGGAAUCAUUCACAACACCAAAUAAAAUGAAGUGUCUAAACACAUGGGUCAAGUGCAAGACAAUCCAAGCAUAGCGUGCAUAAGGUGUAGUGAAUUGUAACGCCCACGAUGCGGCUAUAUCUCCCACGUGUCGAGGCACGACUUAGAGGCAUAACCGCAUUGUGGUAUUGUCACAAGAAGGGUCAUCUUCACACAAUCCCAUGUAAUGAACAAGAAUGGGAUAACGAGAGUUGGCUUACAAUCGCCACUUCACACAAUACAUAAAUUAAUUCAUACAACAUCCAAAAUCCACACAUAGACCGACUACGGUCAAAUCCAAAUGGAAAUAAGAUAACCCCAAAUGCUAGAUCCCCGAUCGUCCCAACUGGGCUCCACUACUGAUCAUCAGGAAAAGAAACAUAGUAACGACCACGUUCCUCGUCGAACUCCCACUUGAGCUCGGUUGCGUCAUCUGCACUGGCAUCGUCGGCACCUGCAACUGUUUUGGUAGAAUAUGUGUGUCACGAGGACUCAGCAAUCUCACACCCGCGAGAUCAAGACUAUUUAAGCUUAUAGGAAAGGGGUGGUGUAAUGAGGUGGAGCUGCAGCAGGCACUAAGCAUAUAUGGCGGCUAACAUACGCAAAUGAGAGCGAGAAGAGAAGCAACGCAACGGCCGCGAAGCUAGAAAUAAUCAAGAAGUAAUCCUGAAACUACUUACGUUCAUGCAUAACUCAAGCCGUGUUCACUUCCCGGACUCCGCCGAGAAGAGACCAUCACGGCUACCCACACGAUUGAUGUAUUUUAAAUUGGGUCAAGUGACAAGUUCUCUACAACCGGACAUUAACAAAUUCCCAUCUGCCUCAUAACCGCGGGCAUGGCUUUCGAAAGAUAAUACCCUGCAGGGGUGUCCCAACUUAGCCCAUCAUAAGCUCUCACGGUCAACGAAGGAUAAACCUUCUCCCGGGAAGACCCGAUCAGUCUUGGAAUCCCGGUUUACAAGACAUUUCGACAAUGGUAAAACAAGACCAACAAAGCCGCCCGAUGCGCCGACAACAUCUGCCUCAUAAGCUUUCCGAAGGUGUGUGAAGCCACCAUGUCGAGGCGUAGUCGUGGAAGUUUCUUGUGGCGCACUUCACUUGAUCUUCGGGAGGAACUUGAUGUAGCUUGAGUAGUCGUCCAUUAGGCGCUCCCACUCGAGAUACUCCUCGGGUUCUUGAGUCCCAUAGAAAGGAAUCGUGUGGUCGAUGUCGAGGUCGUAGUAGCUCGUGGAAGUCGCGGACUUGAGCUUGGGGAGCUUCUCUUGAGCGUAGUCUUGGGGUGCUUGUUGGCGAAGAUGCCGUAUGUACGUAGGCGAAGAUGCCUUGAAGUCGCUUGGCGAAGAUGCCAAGGGCAAUGGUGAAGUCGUUGAGCGGUUGUUGGUGUUGAGCUCGUGACCUUCACGUUCUUGUUGGUGUUGGUGUCGAUGUGACCUUGCCGGAGAUGGUAGCUCGGAAGCAUGUGCUCUUGAGCGUCUUCUCGAAGAUGAGGAAGAUAGCUUGUAGGACUUGAUGAGGGCUUUGAUCUCCUCUAUUUGAGCAUGCAUCUUGGCGUCGGUGGAGUUUUUCGUGGCAUCAAACUCGUCAUUGUUGUUGUAGACCGAAGGUGAAAUGCCUUGCCUAUCCAUCACAAUACUCGAGUAGAGGUGAGUAGGAAAUGAGAUAAACAAUACCAAGUUACCUUUUCCCAAAGUUGAGGAUGUAUCCCAUUUCACUCAAUGUGAGAUGAAAGAAUAGUGGAAUUGGUACCAGACUUGUUCACUCACACCUAUCAAACUAAAGCUUAUGGAGUAGCUCGGUGAGGAUAGUGGCACAAAAAUUUAAUGCAAAAUGUUAGCAAGAGCCAAUAAUGUUGAAAGAGAUUCACAAAUUCGCAAGUGAAACAAGUAGACCAAUAGCAAUAUGUGGCACACGGAAACACACACACAGAUAGAUAAAUGGGGUCGUGCAACCAAGGAAUGAGCACAAAAUGUGGAAUCCACGGAAAACGCUCGUGUUGCACAACUCAAGAGAGACGCUAGCACGAUUUCUCAAUAGGCGGAUACGACACUUGUGCACAACCUAUAAGAUGCAAAAUGGAUAAACUUUUCUAUCCCAAGUAUGCUAUGUAUGUAUGGUUCCCGGUGUUUGAUCCAAGAUGAUCGGAUAUGACAAUCUUAUGCAAUGUGGUAAGAUGCUAUGGCUAUUGCUUACAAGCUUCUUUGCUCUUUCCCUUUUGCUUAAAAGCUUUUUCUUUUUUUAUAUGGCCACAAUGCGAAAUGCACAAACCAAGAUAGCUAUCGUAUAUAUGCGGGAACAAACUUGUGACACAAUGGAUGAUAUGAUACCAAGAUGAUAUGGUAUGUAUGUAAUGGAAGGUGUAUCGAUGAUCACUAAUGUGCACAUGUAACGUUGCCGAUAAUACUCAAAUGGCUAGUCUCGAUAGGCAAGUGACGCAAAAUGGGCUAGGGGUUAUCAACGCAAUUGCAAGGGGAAUGUACAAUGAUGUCGUCGAGGUUACCGUCCUUGGCGAUGAUGAGUGGCGGUGUUCUUGAUGUAGAUACCAAGAUGCUGGAGACUCGUCCCUAAGUAGCUGAAACAUCUUAGGAAACGGAAAAACCGCGAAGUCAAAAUCUCAAAUGACAAAUGGUGGUAGUGGAAAGCGAUGGUGGUUUGCACUCGGCAAUGCGGAAGCUCAAUGGGAUUGCGGAAAUGCAAUGGUGGUUUUGGAGUACGCAAUGCGGAAGUGGGGUGUAAGGUGGUGAACUAUACACGGUGUCGGAGUUGGAAGCACGGUCCCUAAGUAGCCUAAACACCUUAGGAGACACAACUCACAACACAAACAAAAUUGGGUUAAGUUGGGGUGGAAGUGUAUGGUUGGUAAGCCUAUGCGGAAGUGGCGGUGGUGGUUGAUGACGAAGCAACCGUCCCUAAGUAGCCAAAACACCUUAGGAGACUCGAAUCACAACUCAAACAACCAUGGGGAACAAAAUUGGUUAGGUUGCGGAAGUCGGUGGUGGUGUAGCGGAUGAUGUGGUGGAAGCCCUAGGCAAGGAUGCCAAAUUUUGGAAAAUUUGAUGGAGUCAAAUGAUGUUGGUGGUACUUUUGUGGGAAGGAUGAUGUCAAGAGCUUCAAAACGAGCUAAAGAACGUCAAAAAUGGAGUUCAGAUGAAUUAGUUACGGAUAAAACAAAAAUCAGCCGAAAUCAAUAUCUACAGGUUACGGACGUCUGUAAAAGGACGGAUGUCCGGUCGUCGGACGUCCGGGAGGGCUCAGAAAUCCGUAAUUUCCAUUUUGUUGGUAGGUUUCGGUCGUCCGGAAAGUUGCGGACGUCCAGGGGUCGGGGGUCAACGCGGGAUUUGAGCUCCGGGACGUGAUUUUGGGCGGAAUUUUGGGAUUUUGGGGUCAAAAUUGAGGAGAUUUCGUGGAUGGAAAGUGGGGAAACUUGGGGAAAUGCUAGAUCCACUCGAAACUAAGCAAAUCUAUGGAUCAAAUCCAACAAAAUUUCAUCAUACCAACAAAUCACAAAAAAAAUUGGGGCUAUUUUUGGUGGGGAAUUUUUGAAUUUGGGGAAGAACACAACAAAAUCAAGCUAGAAAACACAACGGGGAGGCUCCGAAAUCGUGAUCAACGUGGCUCAUGAUACCAAGAUGAUGUGGAGUGGAACUACGUACGGCCGAUCUUUCACGAAAGGAGCGGAUCCCGACUAAGGACACGAUGAACACGGGGAAGAACGGAGAGAAAACACAAGGGGAAACACUCAAGAACAAGUCCAAUCACACAUCCACUAGACAAUCAAACACACAAGAUCCACAAGGUACAUGAACAACAAAGGGAAAGAUACAAGGUAAGGUUCAUCUCCAUGAGGAUGUCUUGAAAGGGGCCGCCCAAGAGGGGGUCUUGAUGAUAUAUCCCGCAGGAUCUUCUCCUAGAUGGAGGUCUUGGCCUCCAUAAGGAGUAGUAGUCUCUCUCUCUCUCUCUCUCUCUCAAGAGUAGAGUGGUACAAGGAGCAAAGCUCUCUAUCAAAUGAGCUAUCACUUUGCUAACCCUAGAAAGGAGGGGGGAAAGGUCUAUUUAUAGUCUAAGCCACGAAGGGGUAAGUGGGAGAGAGAUACAAGGCCAAAAACCCGGCUGCGCACAGGCAGGUCGGACGCCCGGUCAGCGUCGGACGUCCGGUCGCUCGCGGGGGCCCGGUCGUCCGGAGGGCGUCGGACUUCCGCUAAUAUCGUUUUGUCGUCGUGGCACCGGUCGUCCGGUCGGUGUCGGUCGUCCGUGCGCUGGGACUUGUCGGACGUCCGGCGUCCGUCGAUCGUCCGGCCGCUGUAGCUUUCGUCGGUUGGACUUCUGGGCUGGCUGGAGCUCCAGGCGUCGGACGUCCGGCGUCGUCCGGUCAUCCGGUGGCUGUAGAUCGUCGGACGUCCGGUGGCUCGUCGGUCGUCCGGCCACUGGGGACUCCGCAGCUCCGUCUUCUUCCGUCUUCGCUUCCAUGCUUCCCUCACGGAUGUCGUAGUUGUUCCUUGGCGCUUGCACUCCUCCUCGUCGUCCGUGAAGCUCCGGCGAUACCUAUGCAUGCACACGGGUGGAGUGUCAAGUAGUAUACCAUCCUCGAAGGGGUCAAGUGAACACGUGAAGGAGAAGAUUCACCUUUAUGUAUGAGAAGUAGCGGCCGCACGUGUCACUUACCAAACGGACUCUUGACAUGGUGAUGUCCAUAGGAUGCUCCGCAUCAUUACCUCACUAUCUUCUUCGGAUUCAGACUCAGGUUUCUUCAUUGGUGCUUUGGGAGUCUUUGAAGAUUUUCCUCCUUCUAUCAAUCUCAUUCAUUCAGAUCUUGGUGGAUACUGAGGCAAUUCUCCUUCAGAACCUGAAUGCUCUUCCGAACUCUGUGCCAUGACCAACCUGUGAAAAGAAUAGAUGCGAGGGAAAAAUGGGGUAGGGCCAUAAACAUGCACAUAAGGUGUUUUGAACGAAAAACAAUGUUUCUUGGAGGAACAUAGGAAUUUAUGGUAGUCUUAGAGAAGAUAUCCUCGAUAGAUUUUAAACAAGCCAUAGCAUGUACAAGGCUGAUAAAAGACUAUCUAAUCUUUCGGAUAAGCAUACAUGAACCCUAGAUGGAGGAAAACAAGUAUGAGGAAGAUCUACAAACCGUAUCGGUCAAAUCGUAGUGAUUGCUAAAGAUCUACCGCAGAGAAAUAAAUCAAAGAAAAUAGCCUCAGUAUGAACUGCCCUAAGGAUAGAGAUGAGGACAAGGGCAGUUCAAGAUCCAAGUGCCGUAACUUGGCAACUUGGAUCAGCUACGACGAUGAGGGAGGAAAGAUUACCGCACCGGUGUGAUCAACCACGACGUAGAUCCAUCGGAGUUGCAUGGCGAGGCUCCUCGCCGGAGUUGCUUCGAGCAAGGGCUCGGGUGGAGGUGGACGCGGGUUUGAGGAAUGGGAGGAAGAAGAUGCGGCGAGGGGUAUUUAUAGCUGGCAAGCUGAACCACCUCUCCGAAAUCUACGGCUCACAGUUGCAGGACGUUCUGCAUUCAACGGACACAAUCACGAUCGUGGGGAUCGUGGGUACGUGGCAACCAUUUCAUGCGAAAAACUCGGGAUGAGAGUGGGAGACCGAACGGUUCGAAGAAGGGCAAGCGCCAAAAGAGGAUAAAAGUUCGAAGUCGAUUUCUUUCGUGACCAAGGACGUCGGAUAGAAAUUUUCUUCAGGUCAAAUUGCAUGGUUAUGAUGGACUACAAAUAUUUGGAUGAGAAAGAAUAGAGAGAUAAAAGGUUCCGAAACAAAACACUCAGCCAGAAGAGGGAAACACAAACACACGGAGCUAUGAGUGAGUUGUUCAUCGGACGAAACACAAACACAACGAAACGAAGACAAACACAUGAAAGAGAGCAAAUAAACACGAGCAACAACAAUAGUUCUCAGGGCUAAGAAUAAGCGAGUGGAAUCCCUGAGAGAAAUCCUUCAAGAGGGGUUAGUUCUUUUUCGCAAUCUACAAUUACGUGGGCAGCGAGAAUCUCAUUCGCUUUAUCCGAGCAGAUACAUUUCUCCGAUGAUUUCUGUAGUUCGCCUAUGCAUUUCGAGAGUAAUCAUAUGAAUGUGCAUUGAAAUUGUUUCCAGAGAUAUGAGCAUAAUGAUUUGAAGAGGUACGCAUGUACUUCUUAUGUCGAAGGUUUGACCGAUACCCAUUUGAGGAAGUUCCAACGCCAAUCUACGAAUGAUAAUCAUUUCCUCGAGGAGAAUUACUCUGCAUAUUCACGUUAGCAGUGACAGAUAAAUUUUCAAUGAUGCACUUCUUCACCCAGAUUUGCUUCUUGGGUGAACCAGACCUGUAGUUAGUCCCAACAUACUAAGAAAAAACCUUACCAUUCUGUUGUUUGAAGAAUUUGUAGUUUGAGUCAUCAGACUCAUCCAAAACAACAGAAAUGGGAGUACUAUAUAUCCAGACAGAAUUGCAGGUUCGAGAGUUUUUACUUUAGCAAGAACCCAACUCGUUCGAGGAUAUUGCUCGGGAGUCCAGUAGGUUCCAUCAACAUUGAGUUUUUUUGAAACCUAAUCCUUCCUUUUGGUUUUUUUGUGCAGUAUUGACUUCUUGAGCACAUCACAAAGAGUUUGAUGCCCUUUGAGGCUCUUUAGCAUUCAUGUCUCAAGCAAGUUCUUUAACCUGCAAUUUUCAUCAAUGAUAGCAACAAAUUCCUCGGAAGAGGGGUUAGACUUACCAUUCAUAGUUGUUGCAAUGUUCUUGCUGACAACAUUAGAUGUUUCAACAGUUGAAUCAUCAUUGCAACAUUCUAGGCAUUUAGAGCAAGGAGGCACAAAAUCAUCAGGAAGACGAUUAGAUUGCUCGGCAAAGAGAGAAGCUUUUUCUUUUGCAAGCACCUUAUGAGACUGUUUCAGUGACUCGAGUUCUUGAUUCCUAUUAAGGAGUUCAUCUGCUAAACUCUCGUAGUCGAUUGUAAGGGAAUCGUAUUGGUUGGAAAGAUCAUCAAUAGUUGAAGAAAAAUCAUCAUGCUCUUCGAUCAACUUUUGAUUCUUCUCCAUCUCUUCGACCAGUAAUCCUUCGGUUUUCCUAAGAUUCUUUUCAAGUUUUUCAAGCUCAUCUUGUUGAGAUUUUGCAAUCUUAACCAUUUUAGCAUAGGCAAUGUAUUCAGGAGUGUCGCGGGAAACCACGGCCACCUAUGGGACCAAAGGUCCCUUGCUGGUUUGGCGGGGGGAUGGCACAUUGCACAAAGAGCAGAAGAACGUGGGGCAGCACGGCAGAGAUCACGCCGGCAAUUUUACCCAGGUUCGGGCCGCCGUGAGGCGUUAAACCCUACUCCUGCUUUGGUGGAUUGAUGGUGGAAGAAUGGUGGUGGAGCGUACACUACUACAGCGACGUGCUAAACAAAUGGUUUUUAACCCCUUUCCGCGACGGCAUUUGGAACCGUCGCCAAGUGAGUGUGUGCGAUAGGGUGUCCUUCCCACACGACCCAGAAAUCGUCGCGGAUAGGCCCUCCUGGGACCCAGGCUGGGGCCGUGUGCGAUCGGGUGAGGCAUCGAAACCCAAUCAUUUCCGUAGGUAUGUACAUCCCACAUGGUAAUCCGAGAAAACCAUUUCCAUAGGUAUGUACAUCCCACACGGUGAAUCCCAGAAAAUCAUUUUCGUAGGUAUGUACAUCCCACAUGGUGAAUCCUAGAAAAUCAUUUCCGUAGGUAUGUACAUCCCACACGGUGAAUCCUAGAAAAACAUUUCCGUAGGUAUGUAUAUCACACACAGUUCUUUGUGUGGAAACGUUUGUGCAAGGCGGCCUAACGCAAACAGUUCGCUGCCGGAAGUCGUGUGUGAUUGUUAGUUGAUCGAACACGCCUACUUUCUAGAAACCGUGCGGAUUGUUUGAGUUCAUCGCCCACGGUGCUGUCUGAGUAACCGUUUGCAAUAGAAAACCCCAAUAAGUAGGGUAAUUAGCCUAUUAUUGAUAAUCCAUGUACUAAUCAAACUGAUAUUUCUUAUAAAACACGCCAGAUAUUUCAUAUCCGCAUAAAAGCAACCAGGAUUUCAUAAUCGAAUUACAUCAGAUAGCUUCGGCACUCAGUUACGCCAUUACACAACAGCACCAAGUUUCACAUGCAGCAUCAAAAACCUUAGGAAAGUAGCAUCAUACAUGGUAAAUAGACAGAUGACUGUCAUCUGGGAAACUGCAGAAGCGGAAGGCAAAUAUUGAGCCUUCAGUGAUGUUGAAUGUCCUUGCAACUUUAGGCCAGUGGCUAUGGAUAAUUGCCCACCCAACCUUCAUCCUCUUCAGCAAGACUUCAAUAUUGUACCAUGGGUGUUGAAUGAAUACCUUCCUCGCCUCUUGACCAUGCAGGUGGUUUGAGAGGUAAUCAUCGGUAAACUGCUUUGAAAAGUACUGAAAACAAAGCUAUCCAUAAAUCGCUGUUGUAAAUUUUGAAAUGGCGCAAGGGGUAAAAACAAGGUAAAAGAGUUGGUACCAUCCUAUAGUUGACUGAUGUCUUCUUCAUUGUGCAAACAAAGAUCUUGCUGUUAUUCGUCGCAAGUUUCUUUAUCCUAACAAUCUUUCUGAGUUUCUUGACUUGACUGAUAUUCAUGGACAUCUCAUUUCCCCAUAUGCAAAAUGGGUCGAAUAGUGGGUCUAAGCCUCUGACAGUAGGACCUACAUGUGCAAGACCAAAUUGUAAGAAACCUAAAUAUUAGAAUGAUUCCUGCAACUGCACAAUAAUGUGCUAUUAGCCAAAGGACCCUGCUUGAACAAACCUUGAUGGUAAACCACAGUGUCUCCCAUUGUUUCCCUGCAACACACAUUAAGGAAGAACUUGAUCAGGUUAACUGAGAGUUGCCAUACUAUCAGUAGAAUAUGUAUUGAGUACAACCAAAUUCGAUUGGUGUCACAUGCAUAACAAUACAAAAUCGUACCCACAGCAAAUGAAAAUCAAAUUGCAGAACUGAACCUAACAGUUAAAUGGACAGCAGACCAAAUGAACCAAAAUAGUUAACUGAGCACGACAUUGCAGAAUAGAAACAUGUACUAGAAGAUAGGACAGUUAACAAAACAAUGAAUGCUUGAGAACAGUACUACGAAAUGUAGCAAUUGUUGAACCAAAGUGUUAACUGAACAUUACAUUUGAGAGGACCAAACUGUUAACUGAACAUCAGAUUGCAUAUUAACAUUACAGAGGACAAAAUCACUAGAAGGCACUGGCGGUGGCCUCGAGAAAACAUCAUGAACUGCAUUUUAAAGUAGACAACUGCGUGGCGGUGUCGAUGGUGGCCCUCGAAGAUGAGGCGCUCCUCCAAGAUCUGGCGGUCGACACUCAUGGCAGCCAUAGCGACCUCGUUCGCGCGUGCGACUGCAUGCUACUUAGCUCCAUGUUAUACUGCGUGUAAAAUGGUUGUGGGCGGUGCUUAAUUGGUGGAGGGGGCAGUGAUUUCGGUGGAAGGUGUCACUCCGUCAGUCGGGGCAUGUGGGACAGGAAAGGAGGAGGAUGGUGUGGGUGGGGUGUGGAUUACCUGACCAUAUCGACGAGGUCGUGCAGCAAGAAGAAGGGUCAGUGGCGAGGAGGCUGUGCAGCAAGAAGAAGGGUCGGCGGCGAGGAGGCCGCGCAGCAAGAAGAAGGGUCGCCGGUGAGGAGGCGGGGCUGCAAGAAGAAGGGUAGCCGGCGAGGAGGCGACACUGUAAGAAGAAGGGUCGCCGGCAAGGAGGCUGAGCUGCCAUAAGCAGAAGUGAAGGUUUGAACUUGGAAAGCAAGGAUGAACAGUGGAAAUGUGGCUUUUGGUAGGAGGGAGGGGGCGGGGAGAUAGAUAUUUUCGCAGUGGCAAAAAAAUUUUGCUCGGUGCCGCGAGAAACUGGCGCGCAAGUGUGGUUCAAGCGGGGGCGGUGGACUGUAGACGACGAAGCUUCCUGCGUAAGCCAGACAAGACGGUGCGCCAAGAUAUUUUACAUCGCAUCCCACACGAUUCUUUCUAGUAAAUUUUUUGUGGUAUACCUGAUUUUUUCAUUAUGUUUUGAAAGACAAAAUGGUGUUAUGGAGGGAAAGGAUGGUGUUUGAAUUGCUAGAACAUUUACGUACAGUGAACAUGCAACUAGUACAUGAGUGCCGUGUUUAAAUUUGGAAUUAUUCCGGGUUCGUUUGGCAUUUUUUAUGCAUUAAUUGAGUUUCUGGGCAUUUAAUGUGCAUAAUUCAAAUUUGAACUACAAGCACAUGCUUCGAUGCACCAAAGUUUGCUGAAAAAUCACAUGUGUGUCUUUGGGUGAAUUUAUAGGUCCCAUGCAAGAAAUGGGAAUAAAAUUCAAACAUCUGGGCGUCGUGGCUCGGCCGGAAUGAUUGAGAAACUUGCUUUUUUAAUUCCUGUAAAUCCCAAACACAGCUAAAAAUCAUGAAACUUGGCAUGGUGUCAUGACAUGGCACCAACAUGCUGCAGUAUUUUUUUUGGCGAAUUGGGACAAGCUUUGGUGUAAGCUUCUUGCAAACCAGAGCUUCCCUCAAGAAGGCUCGUGGUUCCGAGAGGGAACGUGUCACCUCCGUGUGCGAAAUGACAUACGUACACUGCCUUCUCCUGCUUUAAUUUUUGUACCAAAUAGGAAUUAAAUAGAAGUAUCGUGCUAAAUUUUGGAAUUAUUCCGGUUUCGUUUGGCCUUUUUUGUACAUUAAUUGAGUUUUUGGGCAUUUAAUGUGCAUAAUUCAAAUUUGAACUAUAAGCACAUGCUCCAAUGCACCAAAGUUGUUUGAAAAAUCACAUGGGUGUCCUUGGGUGAAUUUCUAGGUCCCAUGCAAGAGAUGGGAGUGAAAUUCAAACAUCUGGGUGUCGUGGCUCGGCCGGAAAGAUUGAGAAACUUGGUUUUUUAAUUCCUGUAAAUCCAAAACACGCCUGAAAAUCAUGAAACUUGGCAUGGUGUCAUGACAUGGCACCAACAUGCUGCGGUAAUUUUUUGGCCGAAUUGGGACAAGCUUUGGUGUAAGCUUCUUGCAAACCGGAGCUUCCCUCAAGAAGGCUCGUGGUUCCGAGAGGGAACGUGUCACCUCCGUGUGCGAAACGACAUACGUACACUGCCUUCUCCCGCCUUAACUUUUGUACACUGGCAGAUUAGACCAAAUAGAAGUAUCAUGCUAAAUUUUGGAAUUAUUCCGUGUUCGUUUGGCCUUUUUUGUACAUUAAUUGAGUUUCUGCGCAUUUAAUGUGCAUAAAUCAAAUUUGAACUACAAGCACAUGCUCCAGUGCACCAAAUAUGUUUGAAAAAUCACAUGUGUGUCCUUGGGUGAAUUUCUAGGUCCCAUGCAAGAGAUGGGAGUGAAAUUCAAACAUCUGGGCGUCGUGGCGCGGCCGAAAACAUUGAGAAACUUGGUUUUUUAAUUCCUGUAAAUCCAAAACACGCCUGAAAAUCAUGAAACUUGGCAUGGUGUCAUGACAUGGCACCAACAUGCUGCGGUAAUUUCUUUGGUGAAUUGGGACAAGCUUUGGUGUAAGCUUCUUGCAAACCGGAGCUUCCCUCAAGAAGGCUCGUGGUUCCGAGAGGGAACGUGUCACCUCCGCGUGCGAAACGACAUACGUACACUGCCUUCUCCCGCCUUAAUUUUUUUACACAGGCAGAUUAGACCAAAUAGAAGUACCGUGCUAAAAUUUGGAAUUAUUCCGGUUUCGUUUGGCCUUUUUAUACAUUAAUUGAGUUUCUGCGCAUUUAAUGUGCAUAAUUCAAAUUUGAACUACAAGCACGUGUUCCAGUGCACCAAAGUUGUUUGAAAAAUCACAUGUGUGUCUUUGGGUGAAUUUCUAGGUCCCAUGCAAGAGAUGGGAGUGAAAUUCAAACAUCUGGGCAUCGUGGCUCGGCCGGAAAGAUUGAGAAACUUGGUCUUUUAAUUCCUGUAAUUCCAAAACAUGCCUGAAAAUCAUGAAACUUGGCAAGGUGUCAUGACAUGGCACCAACAUGCUGCGGUAAUUUUUUGGCCGAAUUGGGACAAGCUUUGGUGUAAGCUUGUUGCAAACCGGAGCUUCCCUCAAGAAGGCUUGUGGUUCCGAGAGGGAACGUGUCACCUCCGUGUGCGAAACGACAUACGUACACUGCCUUCUCCCGCCUUAAUUUUUUUACACAGCCAGAUUUGACCAAAUAGAAGUACCGUGCUAAAUUUUGGAAUUAUUCCGGGUUCGUUUGGCCUUUUUUAUACAUUAAUUGAGUUUCUGGGCAUUUAAUGAGCAUAAUUCAUAUUUGAACUACAAGCACACGCUCCAGUGCACCAAAGUUGUUUGAAAAAUCACAUGUGUGUCUUUGGGUGAAUUUCUAGGUCCCAUGCAAGAGAUGGGAGUGAAAUUCAAACAUCUGGGCGUCGUGUCUCGGUCAGAAAGAUUGAGAAACUUGGUUUUUUAAUUCCUGUAAAUCCAAAACACGCCUGAAAAUCAUGAAACUUGGCAUGGUGUCAUGACAUGGCACCAACAUGCUGCGGUAAUUUUUUGGGUGAAUUGGGACAAGCUUUGGUGUAAGCUUCUUGCAAACCGGAGCUUCCCUCAAGAAGGCUCGUGGUUCCGAGAGGGAACGUGUCAUCUUCGUGUGCGAAACGAUAUACGUACACUGCCUUCUCCCGCCUUAAUUUUUUUACACAGCUAGAUUAGAACAAAUAGAAGUAUCGUGCUAAAGUUUGGAAUUAUUCCGGGUUCGUUUGGCCUUUUUAUACAUUAAUUGAGUUUCUGGGCAUUUAAUGUGCAUAAUUCAAAUUUGAACUACAAGCACAGGCUCCAGUGCACCAAAGUUGUUUGAAAAAUCACAUGUGUGUCCUUGGGUGAAUUUCUAGGUCCCAUGCAAUAGAUGGGAGUGAAAUUCAGACAUCUGGGUGUCGUGGCUCGGCCGGAAAGAUUGAGAAACUUGGUUUUUUAAUUCCUGUAAUUCCAAAACACGCAUGAAAAUCAUGAAACUUGGAAUGGUCUCAUGACAUGGCACCAACAUGCUGUGGUAAUUUUUCUGUCCGAUUUGCGAAGGCGCACACAUUAACAAUCAACAAAGUCAUUUUGGAACAAGUGCUGUCACGUUACAAAUCGGAAACACAAGUAUUAUUGAAACCGUGGGCGUUCGACUUACCAAUUACGUGCGGCCACGCGUCCCCUUUUUUUAUUGGCUAGGAGGUGCCGUGCGGGGUAGCUAUUUGAGUACGGGAGGCGUGCGACCAGACCCCUGCGCGUGCUCAUCGGGAGGAGAGCCCUUUGACCGCUACCCGCCGCUCACCUCCCUCCCAACGUCUCCAUUAAUGGUGCCCGAGCACCUGUUCUACGGCGUGGCUAUAUGUCUCACUGGACUAAGAUUUAAGAGAGAAAAAUGAAAAUCUGAAAAGAAAGUUUUGCACGGAUCUUGAUGUAAGAUCCGACGGACCUAUAUAGCAUCGACUGUGAAUUAUAGCAAGCAUGAUGAAUAUAAGGACGAUGACAGUGGAUAAUAAUUGUCUUACAUAUUUAGAAACAUAAUUAAAAAAGCCACAUGCAGAAACGCCGAAAUACACAAGGGCAAAUGAAGAAGGAAGACAACGAUCUGGCUCACUGAUCUCUACUUUCUUGAUGCGUUGCUGCAGGCUGCGGGAACUAGUCUCCGCGGCGAGCGGCGAGGAGCUCUUUCUUGUCCUCAAGAUGCUGCUUGAGAGCAUCCACGGAUUCCUCCACCAGCCUUCUGCGCUCGAUGCACAACAUGGCAUUCUCGUCCAUAAGUUUCUCGACGAUGACGCCGGUCCUCUUCAACAAGGCAAUGGUCUGCUCCUGCUGCUCCACACUUCCGAUGAUCUUCGCCCUCAGCAGGUCGCGCUCGGCCCGAAGCUUUGCAUUGCUCUCAUUUAGUUGCCGGAUGACGUCGGUCGACUAUUCAAACGAGGCUUUCAGGUCAUCCUGCAACCUCGCCCACCUGGAGAUCUGAUCCAUCUGCCUAAGGACGAGGGCACGCAUGCGCCUAUAAGAGUCCUCGCCUGCCCGCGAGACAUUUUCCCAGGCCUCCGCGGCGCGGGAGGACAUCUCUGCUGCAUUCGCGGCGUGGCGGGACAUCUCUUCUGCUUCCGCGGCGUGGCCGAACCAGUCUGCUGCAUCGACGGCCGGCGGGUCCUCCGUGCUGCUUCGGCGGCACGGCGGGACCUCUCUGCUGCUACGGCUGUGCGGCGGGACAUCUCUCGUUCUUUCGCUUCCAGGCUCGCCUCUCCCUGGUGGCAAUCUCUCGACCCAGAACUCAUGCUGGCCAUGGCGGACGAAAGGGAACGAUGAUGAAUGACUAGUUUGUUUUUGACUUUUUGUGGAUGAGGAGUUGAGGAGGAAUGUGCAGUCAUCUUGGAGUAGUAGUAUUUAUAACCGCGUAGUAAUACGCUCCUAAGUGGGAAACCGUUUAGGUUUUGAUCGGUGUGAACAGGUUUGCAAUUUGGAAUGUGACGGGACGCGGCCUCCUGUUCUUCUAAAAAAAAUUAUGACGGGACGCAUGCUCAAAAUUGACUGACGGUUAUAAGUGCGGCACUAUUCCCGGAAGGCGUAACGUGGGCACGUACGCCUUCUCGGCAGCGUACGUGGCGUUUGCACCAUAGGGUGCACCGCAAUAGGAAAUGUCAGCACACGUCUUGUUCCAACAACCGUGUGCUCGUUAUUACCAUCGCACACGCUUCUUUUAAUUAGAAUGGGUGUGCCCGUCUAGCGCACACACGUUGAUCUAUCUAACUAUUUCAGUUUGUUGUGGCUAAUCGCAAACAGUUCAUCCAUGUGAAGUGUAUGCCAUCAAUCGCAGACACUUUGAUCUGGCUUACCCGUUUCUGUUCUGUUGCCUAAUCGCAAACAGUUAAUCCUUCUGAAGCGUAUGCCCUCAAUCGCACACACCUUGAUUUGGCUGACCAUUUCUUUUGUGUUGCCUAAUCACAAACAGUUCAUCCGAGUGAACCGUAUGCUGUAUAUCACACACACCUUCAUCUGGCUGCCUGUUUCUUUUGUGUUGUCUAAUCACAAACAGUUCAUUCGAGUGAACCGUAUGCUGUACAUCGCACAUGCCUUCAUCUUCCUGCUCGUUUCUUUUGUUCCUCCUCAUUGAAAACGGUUAAUUGAACUGAACCGUAUGCCCUGAAUCACACACGCAACUAAAAUCUGAACCGUGUUUGAUUCAUCCUCCAUCGCAAACAUUUUGCACCUUUUUUGACGGUCUUUUUACACCACCGUUUGCGAUUAUGGCAUCACACACAGUUUCGUCGAAGGGUCUCUGAUCGUAGUGUCGCGUUAGCAGCAUCCUGCAGUAGUGGUAGUACACUUGCCCGACAGGGUUGCCUUAGGGCGACAGUGGCUACGCGCUUAUGAAUGUGUGGGUGUCCAACCUUCUAACCCUUUCUACGGGUGCCAUGGGCCUCCUUUUAUAGAUUAAGGGGUCACCACAAUGGCAAAGUAGUCAUUAUGCACUGACAAGAUAGCAAACAGUGCUAUCAUACCUAACUCUGCAGGCUGACAGGGUGCAUUAAAUGCACCGCUCAACGUCAGAUCGUCGCUUGCCCGACAAGCCUUACCGGGUUGUUUUGCCAACUUCAUGCCUGCUCGCUUGACACGUCACAGGACGGGUGUCGUCGGUAGGUAUUUCUUGUAGAAAGAGGCUGCCAUGUGGCGAAUGGCUGGCACUUAAUCACUCUGCGGCUUGACACCGCACUGAUCGUUGACGUGGGUCGUGGUGGGGUGGUUGGGUGAGGUGGCUUUGCCUCCGCGAGUCCUGGCAGGCCUUGUCGGGAUGCCUUGGAUGCUCUCUUCCGGGGGCGGCCUCGUCCUCGCCAGGCUCGGCUUCCCGGCAAGGGAGGUUUUUCUCCUGGUGGUAUAUUGCUUCUAGCUUGGUCUUGGUCCUUUUGAUCUGCAUGUUGGUUCUUCGAAGAUCUUGGUCCCUUGUACUCUAGCCUGGCCUGGUGCUGCAAUCUUGCUCCCGUGCCUAUGCACAGUCUGGGCAAUGGACCCAGGGUUUGUUGCACCGACAGAAGCCCCCGGGCCUGCCCCGAAGAAGCUACCGAGCGUCGUCGGGGUAGGCCCUAAUAAGUGUACACGCAGGGGUGCGGAAGAGGCUGGUCUCUUGAGGUCUUCUUUGCUUCUUCAUAAACUUUGAGCCCGGGCCAGUUUCGGUUUCCCCGCGCGUCGUGCGCAAUGUUGCAGAAAAACUUGGACCGUGGCCCGCGGAUCGCCCACGCCCCACGAUCACGGGGCAGAAACUGCCAUCCUACUUGCCUCCUGCUUCACACGCACCUGCCACGUGUUCUGCAUGCAUUGGGCGCGGUAGGUGGUGGAUGCGGAGAGCGCGGGGACGAGUGUCAUGGCAGAAAACCAGGCGUCGAUGGUUGGAGCAGAGGGUCGGGCUUGAUUCUUAGAGCCACAGAAGGCGCAGGGAGGCCGUAUUGGAGGAGCAGGGCGGCCGGUCCCUGCGCGAGAGGCUAGCCCCUACCCCAUCCUUCUAUAAGAGGGGGCAGGAGCAGUGCAUUUUCACACACGCUUCUUCCCCUCUGCAACCUUUCUUCACUCGCCAUGGUGAGAGGACGAGGGCGCCGUGGUAUUCCAGCGGCGGCGACGAGGGCUUCUACUCGACAGCGCAUCCCCCCUCCCCUGGAUCCUGCAGUAGUGGAGCUCGCCGUGAGAGGAGGAGGGAGGGGGCGAGGCCGUGGUCGCAGUGGUGCUCGAGGAAGAGGAGGACGGGGCGGUGCCUCGGCCGCGCCUCCACAGGCGGCUCUUCCUCCAAUGGAAGGCCACGUCAGGGAUCAGCCUCGAGAGUUCAUCAUCAGGCUGUACAAACCUCUGUGCGACCAUCUUCUUCUACCUACUCCAUUCGCACGGGAAAUGGAGCUUGAACAACCACACGCUUUGAGGUUGCAUAUGAGGGGGUGUGGAAAUGGUGGCAUGUGGGUGGAUGUUGACUUCCCAGCCCCCCAUGUUAUGUACCUCCGCCGUGGUUCGAAGACCUUGCUCGUGCCCACAGCUUCUCGGAGGGGCACAUUCUCCAGUUUAAAUUAAUGGAGAGCAGCCUACUCUCCGUCAAGAUCUUUGGUCGCUCAGGAGCUCGCUUAGGGUGCUGCGCGGAGAGCUCGACCGACGACGAAAGCUCCUCCUCGAGCGAAAUCGACGAGGAGGACAGUGACGACGAUGACGACAGCAGCGACCCGGAGGGCGACGGCUCUGAUCCGGCUGAGCGUCUGCCCGCACCAUCUUCAUCAGGCAGCAACACCAUCAUCUGCACCUGCAUCUCCUUCCCGGCAAGAUGAUUCGCUGGGGAGUUGGAUGCAGAGGUGGGGAUGGUGCUUCUCGGCUUCUUCUAGCUGGACUCCGGCAAACUUCCUCAUGGGCUGUAGCUCCGUUAGCCCUGCUGAGUCCUGCUGGCCCUAGUGGUGGUGGUUGACGGGUUGCCUCCGCCAUGCUCUCCAUCGACGCGUUCGGUAGCGUCUUCCCGUCCCCGCCAGGCUACCUCUCCUGGAGCCCGACGGGGCUAGGCCCGGCUUCUGCCCUGGUGCUCCUUUUGUCUCCUUCACCUUCAACUGCCAUGCCAAGGAGAGGGACAAGAAAGGGCAUCACGAGGCACUUAUCUUUUUUCAAUCUUAAACCUGUAGGCAUUCGCCAAAUUGUAGUUCAAAUAAUGUAAUCUCUCGAGUCCAUGUUUGUGUUAUGUAAGAUUUUGUAACAGCCUGGUUUUUGGCCCUUUUCUUUCCUUUUUGAUUCACUGGUUUAUGCACUGAUUUUCUUUUUGGAGUGGUUCUGUGGCCCCGUCACCUCGGAAAUCAUCAUCAUUUCCUCUCCCAAGUGACUCAUCAUCCUCAAAUCUUGCCCAAGACCAUGUCAUUUCCAUUCUAGCCCAACCCUAGAAUUCUUUUCUUGGGGAAUAUUCCUUUUCUUAUUAAAGGAAUAACCCUAAUUGCCCUACGUUGUGAAGCAACCUAUAUUUCUGUCCAUCCAAAAUUCCCAAUUAAUUCUCAUAAUUUCUUUGGGUCAUAUGUUGCUCAAAUAUGCCCAAACUUUCCUGCCCUAGCCCAAGAAUAAUUCCCCAAUAAUUAUUCUUUAUUUCUUUCCAGUGUGACUUUCUGUGAAGGAAGUGCCACCUAUCCUUUCCUGAUUGCUCCCAAACCUUUUGGGCAUUCUCUUAUGUCCAAAUCAUUGCCUCAUGCCAAAGUUCAACUUUAUUUGCCUAGCCAAUCUUCCUCAGCAAUUUUCAAACUUUCUGUCAGACAGAAGGCACUGUGAAGGAAGUACUAGCUAGGAGUUUCCAUAUGAGUUGAAAUUUUGCACACUCCUUCAUGUGCUCAUAAUAGCACACUCCUCCAAAUUUCAGCUCCAUCCCUUGAUCUAUGUGAGCACAGGAUCAAAUCUUUGAUUCUGUUAAUGUUUUCAGGUUGUGAGGCAAGUAUAAUUUUUAUUGCUUUAUUAAUUCUAAUAAAUUACCAGAUUGUGCUCCUACCCUUAUAACAUCUCUCCAUCAAAUUUGGGACCAAAUCAUCAAGCCAUUUUCCCUCCAAAAUUAUUCCAAGUUUCUGUCCAGAGAAGAUGUGUGUGAAGCAAGUACCAUUUUGGCUUGUCCAUUUGGUAUGAAACUUUUACAGCAUAUUCAUAUGGCCAAAUAACUCUGUCUUGCCAAAUUUCAGCUCAAGUGGCUUCUCCAUGUGAGUGCACUUUCUUGAUCAAGUUUCUGGACCCCAAUGUGUGUUGCACAGCAACUAUAUUAGUUUGUGGUCCAAAUCCCCUCAUAAACCACAGGAUUAUAUUCCUUCUUAAGCUAAUCACUCCAGACAACUCCACUGGAACAAAUCAACUCCCUGUUGAUUAGCAGUGCACGUCCAAGUUUGAUGCAACAAACUUUGCUCAAUGCCUCACAUCUCUCCAGUGCUCCUUUUGUCGAUUCAUCACCUCUCCCAGACUCAGUGACACAGGGACUAGUCACUUGACAACUCCUCGCAGCCUCCGUCCUCUUUGUGCCAGUGCCUGUGGUGACUGUCCCCUUCGCAUGGCGUUUCACGCGCUCUGGCAGCGUCGGCCGCGCUCUGGGCGUCGGGACGCGCCGGCCAGCUCGGCAUCGGCGGUUUCCGCGCGUCUGGGCGUGCCGACCUGACUCCCCCUUCCUCUCCCGUCGCUCUCGUGUCCCUGCCCCCUCCCGAAGCCUCCUCACCGGAGCUAGACGCCGUGCGCCCACGGACAGACGAUGGCCCUUUGGCUCUGCCUUCGUCUCGGCCGCUUCCUCCCCGUGCCUCUUGGCCUCCUCCGCCUCGUUAGUCUGCCCUCUGCCCCCUCCCACCGCCUUCCGACAAGCAAGCUCGUCCGCCCACGCGUCCGCGGCAACGCCAGCGCGGCAGCUCCUCCCCCGCCUAUUUAUAGCCAGCCCCGCAGCACUCCGAGCUCACCACUGGCCUUCUCUAGCUCCCCUAGUCCUCCCGAGCCCCUUCCCGAGCCUCUGGAGCUCUCCCUGCUCACCAUCUCCGCCGCCUGGCUUCUCCUAAAUUCGCGACCACCGGAGCCCCAUUCUCCCUCCGAGCAUCACCACUAGAUCCUCUGAACUUCGGCGGAGCCCUCCCCAUCCCCUCGUUCGUCUUCCCAUCAGCAGAGUGCCGUACCCAUCUCCGGUCGAGCCGCUGUCCGCCGCGGCUAGUGCCUCGCCCGUCUCCAAGCUCCUCGGCAUUCGUGCCCUUCCUGGAUGGAACCGCCUCGGCCCACUAAUCUCUCCAGUAGGUUGAGCGCCGCCGAUGGUGGCCGGUGUCGCCAGCGAGCCUCGUCGGGGCCGGCCCGGUCCUCUGUUCUGCGGGCGCCGUCGAGCUGAAGAAGAAAGGAGCGGGAGGAGAGAGAGAAGCAGCACGGGUCCCACCUGUAAGCGACACUAGCCCGGCCCCGCCCCCUCGCUGACGUGGAUAAGUGGAGACGUACUCCUGGUGAGUACGCUUUCCCUUAUCGAAAGCGUAUUUUGCUUCUUCUUCGGGCCAGAAUGCGCUUUCCUCUCUGGAAAGCGUAUUCCUGAGAAAGGCGCGUUCUGUUUAAACUGCAAGGGACCUGUUUGUAGAAGUUACUUUUGCAGAUUAGUCCCUGGGCUUUAAACGGUCGUAUCUUUUUUCCCGUAACUCCAAAUGAGGUGAUUCCAAAGCCCACUUCUUCGUCUCGUCGAGCCCGUUCUGUUGGUUUCAUUUUCAGCAUGUGUUAACAUUUUGAAAAUGACCAUUUUGCCCUUGCACUAAAUCAGCCCCCUCCGAUAGAGAACUUUUUCCGGCGAUUCUUUCCGCGAGUUUCUCGCACUUCCUCCCAGUGAAUCCCUCCACCCCAGGCAAGCCACACCCUCCAUUUGCAUGACUGCAAUGUAGUGACAUGGUUUAAAUUAUUUGAACUUGUUAAAAUAUUGUUUUAGCUACUUGUGAUUUGUUCAUGGCAUUUCUCGGAGUAUUGUUUGAUCUUGCUAUUGCCAUGAUAUUGUUUGGAGUUCUAGGUUUAAUAUUUUGCAUCUUAUGUGGAUGAUAUGUUGCCUUUGGAUUCUUAGUGGCUAUUAUGAUUAUCUUAAUGAUGGUAUUAUGCUUUGGAGUAUUACUUGGGUAUCAUGUUGCCUUUGGAUUAUUACUAGCUAGUAUUAUUUUCAUUGCUACCUCUUGAGCAUGCGUUGGUUUUCCCUUGAAGAGGAAAGAAUGAUGCGUCCAAGUAGCGUAAGUAUUUCCCUUAGUUUUUGAGAAUCAAGGUAUCAAUCCAGUAGGAGACAUCGCAGAAGUCACCUAGUACCUGCACAAACAAUCAAGAACCUUGCAACCAACGCGAUAAAGGGGUUGUAAAUCCCUUCACGGUCACUCACAAAAGUGAGAUCUAAUAAAGAUAGAAAGGUAAAUAUUUUUGGUAUUUUUGUUGUAUAGAUUUGAAAGUAAAGAUUGCAAAAUAGUAAACGAGAUGCGAUGUAAAUAAAAGAGAUGCAAUAUAAUAAGAAAGAGACCCGGGGGCCAUAGGUUUCACUAGUGGCUUCUCUGAAGAUAGCAUGUAUUACGGUGGGUGAACAAAUUACUGCCAAACAAUUGCUAGAAAAGCGCAUAGUUAUGAAGAUAUCUAAGGCAAUGAUCAUGAAUAUAGGCAUCACGUCCGUGUCAAGUAGACCGAAAUGAUUAUGCGUCUACUACUAUUACUCCAGACAUCGACCGCUAUCCAGCAUGCAUCUAGAGUAUUAAGUUCAUAAGAACAGAGUAACACAUUAAGCAAGAUGACAUGGUGUAGAGGGAUAAACACAAGCAAUGUGAUAUAAACCCCAUCUUUUUAUCCUCGAUGGCAACAAUACAAUACGUGCCUUGCUGCCCCUACUGUCACUGGGAAAGGACACCGCAAGAUUGAACCCAAAGCUAAGCACUUCUCCCAUUGCAAGAAAGAUCAAUCUAGUAGGCCAAACUAAACCAAUAAUUCGAAGAGACUUGCAAAGAUAUCAAAUCAUGCAUAUAAGAAUGGAAGAACCAAAUAAUAUUCAUAGAUAAUCUUGUUCAUAAAUCUACAAUUCAUCGGAUCUCGGCAAACACACCGCAAAAGAGUAUUACAUCGAAUAGAUCUCCAAGAACAUCGAGGAGAACUUUGUAUUGAGAAUCAAAGAGAGAGAAGAAGCCAUCUAGCUAAUAACUAUGGACCCGAAGGUCUGUGGUAAACUACUCACGCUUCAUCGGAGAGGCAAUGGUGUUGAUGUAGAAGCCCUCCGUGAUUGAUUCCCCCUCCGGCUGAUCGCCGGAAAAGGCCCCAAGAUGGGAUCUCACGGGUGCAGAAGGUUGCUGUGGUGGAAAAGUGGUUUCUUGGCCCCCCCUAAUCGAUCUAGGGUAUAAGAGUAUAUAUAGGCGAAAGAAGUACGUCGGUGGAGCUACGAGGGGCCCACGAGGGUGGGGCGCGCCCUCCUGCCUCGUGGCUGCCUCGUGGCGUUCCAGACUUCAACUCCAAGUCUUCUGGAUUGCUUUCGGUCCAAGAAAGAUCAUCGUGAAGGUUUCAUUCCGUUUGGUAUUCCUUUUCUGCGGAAUUCUAAAAUAGACAAAAAAAGGAACUGGCACUGGGCCUCCAGUUAAUAGGUUAGUCCCAAAAAUAAUAUAAAAGAGCAUAUUAAAGCCCAUUAAACAUCCAAAACAGAUAAUAUAAUAACAUGGAACAAUAAAAAAUUAUAGAUACGUCGGAGACGUAUCAAGCAUCCCCAAGCUUAAUUCCUGCUCGUCCUCGAGUAGGUAAAUGAUAAAAACAGAAUUUUUGAUGUGGAAUGCUACCUAACAUAAUUAUCAAUGUAAUUUUCUUUAUUGUGGCAUGAAUUUUUAGAUCCGAAAGAUUCAAGACAAAAGUUUAAUAUUGACAUAAAAAUAAUAAUACUUCAAGCAUACUAACAAAGUAAUCAUGUCUUCUAAAAAUAACAUGGCCAAAGAAAGUUCUUCCCUACAAAAUCAUAUAGUUUGGCUAUGCUCCAUCUUCGUCACACAAAAUGUUCAAAUCAUGCACAACCCCGAUGACAAGCCAAGCAAUUGUUUCAUACUUUAGUAUUCUCAAACUUUUUCCACUUUCACGCAAUACAUGAGCGCGAGCCAUGGACAUAGCACUAUAGGUGGAAUAGAAUGGUGGUUGUGGAGAAGACAAAAAAAGAGGAAGAUGGUCUCACAUCAACUAGGCGUAUUAAUGAGCUAUGGAGAUGCCCAUCAAUAGAUAUCAAUGUGAAUGAGUAGGGAUUGCCAUGCAACAGAUGCACUAGAGCUAUAAAUGUAUGAAAGCUCAACAAAAGAAACUAAGUGGGUGUGCAUCCAACUUGCUUGCUCACGAAGAUCUAGGGCAUUUUGAGGAAGCCCAUCGUUGGAAUAUAAAAUCCAAGUUCUAUAAUGAAAAAUUCCCACUAGUAUAUGAAAGUGACAAAAUAAGAGACUCUCUAUCAUGAAGAUCAUGCUGCUACUUUGAAGAACAAGUGUGGAAAAAGGAUAGUAGCAUUGUCCCUUCUCUCUUUUUCUCUCUUUUUUUUGUUUGGCUUCUUUGGCCACUCUUUUUUUCAUUGGCUUCUUUGGACUCUUUUUUUCCUCACACGGGAGAGUGCUCUAAUAAUGAUGAUCAUCACACUUCUAUUUAUUUACAACUCAAGGAUUACAACUCGAUACUUAGAACAAAAUAUGACUCUAUAUGCGUGCCUCCCGCGGUGUACCGGGAUGUGCAAUGAAUUAAGAGUGACAUGUAUGAAAAAAUUAUGAAUGGUGGCUUUGCCACAAAUACGAUGUCAACUACAUGAUCAUGCAAAGCAAUAUGACAAUGAUGAAGCGUGUCAUAAUAAACGGAAUGGUGGAAAGUUGCAUGGCAAUAUAUCUCGGAAUGGCUAUGGAAAUGCCAUAAUAGGUAGGUAUGGUGGCUGUUUUGAGGAAGGAUAUGUGGUGGGUUUAUGGUACCAGCGAAAGUUGCGUGGCACAAGAGAGGCUAGCAAUGGUGGAAAGGUGAGAGUGCUUAUAAUCCAUGGACUCAACAUUAGUCAUAAAGAACUCACAUACUUAUUGCAAAAAUCUACAAGUCAUCAAAACCAAGCACUAAGCGCAUGAUCCUAGGGGGAUAGAUUGGUAGGAAAAGACCAUCGCUCAUCCCCGACCACCACUCAUAAGGAAGACAAUCAAAGAAACACCUCAUGUUUCAAAUUUGUUACACAACGGUUACCAUACGUGCAUGCUACGGGACUUGCACACCUCAACACAAAUAUUUAUCAAAUUCAUAAUUAAUAUACUAGCAUGACUCUAAUAUCAUCAUCCUGAUGUCUCAGAACAAUCAUCAAGCAUCAAACUUCUCAUAGUAUUCAACGCACUGUAUAUGAAAGUUUUUAUUAUACCCAUCUUGGAUGCCCAUCAUAUUAGGACUAGUUUUAUAGCCAAAGCAAAUUACCAUGCUGUUCUAAAAGACUCUCAAAAUAAUAUAAGUGAAGCAUGAGUGAUCCAUAAUUUCUAUAAAAUAAAACCACCACCGUGCUCUAAAAAGAUAUAAGUGAAGCACUAGAGCAAAAUUAUCUAGCUCAAAAGAUAUACGUGAAGCACAUAGAGUAUUCUAAUAAAUUCCGAUUCAUGCGUGUUUCUCCCAAAAGGUGUGUACAGCAAGGAUGAUUGUGGUAAAAUAAAAAGCAAAGACUCAAAUCAUACAAGACGCUCCAAGCAAAACACAUAUCAUGUGGUGAAUAAAAAUAUAGCCUCAAGUAAGUUACCGAUAGACGAAGACGUAAGAGGGGAUGCCUUCCGGGGCAUCCCCAAGCUUAGGCUUUUGGUUGUCCUUGAAUUUUACCUUGGGGUGCCUAGGGAAUACCCAAUCUUAGGCUCUUGCCACUCCUUAUUCGAAAAUCCAUCAAAUCUUUUUACCCAAAAACUUGAAAACUUCACAACAAAAAACUUCAACAGAAAAUCUCAUGAGCUCCGUUAGUAUAAGAAAAUUAACCAUCACUUUAAGAUACUGUAAUGAACUCAUUCUUUAUUUAUAGUGGUGUUAAAACUAAUGUAUUCCAACUUCUCUAUGGCUCAUACCCCCCGAUACUACUCAUAGAUUCAUCAAAAUAAGCAAACAACACACGAAAAACAGAAUCUGUCAAAAAUAGAACAGUCUGUAGUAAUCUGACUUGUUCGAAUACUUCUGGAACUCCAAAAAUUCUGUAAUAAGUUGGUGGACGUGAUUAAGUUGUCUAUUAAUCAUCUGCAAAAAGAAUCAACCUAAAAUCACUCUCCAGUAAAAAAUGGCAGCUAAUCUCGUGAGCGCAAAAGUUUCUGUUUUUUUACAGCAAGAUUGCAAAGACUUCACCCAAGUCUUCCCAAAGGUUCUACUUGGCACAAACACUAAUUAAAACAUAAAACCACAUCUAAAAAGAAUCUAGAUGAAUUAUUUACAACUAAACAGGAACAAAAAUCAAAGAACAAAAUUAAAAUUGGGUUGCCUCCCAACAAGCGCUAUCGUUUAACGCCCCUAGCUAGGCAUAAAGGCAAGAAUAGAUCUAGGUAUUGUCAUCUUUGGUAUGCAAUCCAUAAGUGGCUCUCAUAAUAGAUUCAUAAGGCAAUUUAAUUUUCUUCCUAGUAAAGUGUUCCAUGCCUUUCCUUAACUAAAAUUGGAAUUUAAUAUUUCCUUCUUUCAUGUCAAUAAUUGCACCAAUCGUUCUAAGGAAAGGUCUACCAAGAAUAUGAGGACAUGUAGGAUUGCAAUCUAUAUCAAGAACAAUAAAAUCUACGGGCACAUAAUUCCUACUUGCAACAAUAAGAACAUCAUUAAUCCUUCCCAUAGGUUUCUUAAUGGUGGAAUCCGCAAGAUGCAAAUUUAGAGAACAAUCAUCAAAUUCACGGAAACCUAGCACAUCACACAAAGUUUUUGGAAUCGUGGAAACACUAGCACCCAAAUCACAUAAAGCAUAGCAUUCCUAAUCUUUAAUCAUAAUUUUAAUAGUAGGUUCCCACUCAUCAUAAAGUUUUCUAGGGAUAGAAACUUCUAGUUCAAGCUUUUCUUCGUAGGAUUGCAUUAAAGCAUCAACGACAUGUUUAGUAAAAGCUUUAUUUUCAUUAUAAGCAUGAGGAGAAUUUAACACGGAUUGCAACAAGGAAAUACAAUCUAUCAAAGAGCAAUUAUCAUAAUUAAAUUCCUUGAAAUCCAAAAUAUUGGGUUCAUUGCUAUGUAAAGUUUUGGCCUCUUCAAUCCCAGUUUUAUUAAUUUUUGCAUCAAGAUCUAAAAGCUCCGAAUCAUUGGGGCGCCUUUUAACUAAAGUUGACUCAUCUCCAGUCCCAUCUUUAUCAAGAUUCAUAUUGGAAAACAAAGAUUUAAUAGGAGACACAUCAAUCACUUUUAGAUCUUCAUCAUUAUUAUCAUGAAAACUAGAAGAACACGCUUUCACAAAGCAAUCUUUUUAGCACGCAUCCUAGCGGUUCUUUCUUUGCACUCAUCAAUGGAAAUUAUCAUAUCUUUGAGAGACACAUUGAUGUCAUGCUUAGGUGGAAUAGAUCUAAGUUUCAAAGAAUCAACAUCAAGAGAAAUUUUAUCCACGUUCCUAGCCAACUCAUCAAUCUUAAGCAAUUUUUCUUCAACCAAAGCAUUGAAAUUCUUUUGCGAAUUCAUAAAUUCUUUAACACUAGUCUAAAAAUCAGAGGGCAUCUUAUUAAAAUUUCCAUAAGAGUUGUUGUAGGAAUUGCCAUAAUUAUUAGAGGAAUUACUAGGAAACGGCCUAGAAUUAAAGUUUCCUCUAUACGCGUUGUUACCAAAAUUGUUCCUACCAACAAAAUUCACAUCCAUAGAUUCAUUAUUAUUCUCAAUCAAAGUGGACAAAGGCAUAUCAUUAGGAUCAGAAGAAACACUUUUAUUAGCAAAUAAUUUCAUAAGUUCAUCCAUCUUUCCACUCAAUCGCAUGAACCUUUUUACUAGUGGAUCUUUCAGUGUGCCAUUGAGAAUAAUUAACCAUAAUAUUGUCUAGGAGUUUAGUAGCUUCUCCUAAAGUGAUUUCCAUAAAAGUGCCUCGCGCAGCUGAAUCUAAAAGAUUUCUAGAAGCAAAAUUCAAUCCGACAUAAUUUUUUUGUAUAAUCAUCCACAAAUUCAAACCAUGUGUAGGGCAACUACGUAUCAUUAAUUUCAUCCUCUCCCAAGCUUGUGCAACAUGCUCAUGGUCAAGUUGCUUAAAAUUCAUAAUAUCGUUUCUAAGAGAGAUGAUCUUAGCGGGAGGAAAAUACUUAGAGAUAAAAGCAUCUUUGCACUUAUUCCAUGAAUCAAUACUAUUUUUAGGCAAAGAAGAGAACCAAGUUUUAGCACGAUCUCUAAGCGAAAACGGAAAUAGCUUCAAUUUAACAAUAUCAUUGUCCACAUCUUUCUUCUUUUGCAUAUCACACAAAUCAACAAAAUUGUUUAGAUGGGUAGCGGCAUCUUCGCUAGGAAGGCCAGAAAAUUGAUUUUUCAUAACAAGAUUCAGCAAAGCGGUAUUAAUUUCACAAGAUUCAGCAUCGGUAGUAGGAGCAAUCAGAGUGCUAAUAAAAUCAUUGUUGUUGGUAUUGGAAAAAUCACACAAUUUAGUAUUAUCUUGAGCCAUCGUGACAAACAAUCAAUCCAACACACAAGCACACAAGAAGCAAGCGAAAAGAAAAAGGGCGAAGAAAAGGCAAAGGUUUUCGAAAAUUAUUUUAGAAGUGGGGGAGAGGAAAACGAGAGGCGAAUGGCAAAUAAUGUAAUGCGAGGGAGAAGAGUUUAUGAUGGGUACUUGGUAUGUCUUGACUUGGUGUAGAUCUCCCCGGCAACGGCGCUAGAACUCCUUCUUGCUACCUCUUGAGCAUGCGUUGGUUUUCCCUUGAAGAGGAAAGAGUGAUGCAACAAAGUAGCGUAAGUAUUUCCCUCAGUUUUUGAGAACCAAGGUAUCAAUCCAGUAGGAGACAACGCACAAGUCACCUAGUAACUGAACAAACAAUCAAGAACCUUGCAACCAACAUGAUAAAGGGGUUGUCAAUCCCUUCACGGUCACUCGCAAAAGUGAGAUCUAAUAAAGAUAGAAAAGUAAAUAUUGGAAAUUAAAGAUUGCAAAAUAGUAAACGAGAUGCGAUGUAAAUAAAAGAGAUGUAAUAUAAAAAGAAAGAGACCCGGGGGCCAUAGGUUUCACUAGUGGCUUCUCUGAAGAUAGCAUGUAUUACGGUGGGUGAACAAAUUACUGCCAAGCAAUUGAUAGAAAAGCGCAUAGUUAUGAAGAUAUCUAAGGCAAUGAUCAUGAAUAUAGGCAUCACGUCCAUGUCAAGUAGACCAAAAUGAUUCUGCAUCUACUACUAUUACUCCACACAUCGACCGCUAUCCAGCAUACAUCUAGAGUAUUAAGUUCAUAAGAAUAGAGUAACGCAUUAAGCAAGAUGACAUGAUGUAGAGGGAUAAACUCAAGCAAUAUGAUAUAAACCCCAUCUUUUUAUCCUCGAUGGCAACAAUACAAUACGUGCCUUGCAGUCCCUCCUGUCACUGGGAAAGGACACUGCAAGAUUGAACCCAAAGCUAAGCACUUCUCCCAUUGCAUGAAAGAUCAAUCUAGUAGGCCAAACUAAACCGAUAAUUCAGAGAGACUUGCAAAGAUAUCAAAUCAUGCAUAUAAGAAUUCAGAGAAGAACCAAAUAAUAUUCAUAGAUAAUCUUGUUCAUAAAUCCACAAUUCAUCGGAUCUCAGCAAACACACCGCAAAAGAGUAUUACAUCGAAUAGAUCUCCAAGAACAUCGAGGAGAACUUUGUAUUGAGAAUCAAAGGGAGAGAAGAGGCCAUCUAGCUAAUAACUAUGGACCCGAAGGUCUGUGGUAAACUACUCACGCUUCAUCGGAGAGGCAAUGUUGUUGAUGUAGAAGCCCCCCGUGAUUGAUUCCCCUCUGGCCGAUCGCCGAAAAAGGCCCCAAGAUGGGAUCUCACGAGUUCAGAACGUUGCGGCGGUGGAAAAGUGGUUUCUUGGCUCCCCCUGAUCGAUCUAGGGUAUAAGAGUAUAUAUAGGCGAAAAAGUAUGUCAGUGGAGCUACGAGGGGCCCACAAGGGUGGGGGGCGCGCCUACCCCCCUGGGCGCGCCCUCCUGCCUCGUGGCCGCCUCGUGGCGUUCCAGACUUCAACUCCAAGUCUUCUGGACUGUUUUCGGUCCAAGAAAGAUCAUCGUGAAGGUUUCAUUCCGUUUGGAUUCCGUUUGGUAUUCCUUUUCUGUGAAACUCUAAAAUAGACACACAAAAAAGAAACUGGCACUGGGCCUUCGGUUAAUAGGUUUGUAACAUCCCAGAUUUUCAAUUUGGAAUGUUAUACAUAGGUCAUUCUUGCAUAUCAUAUUUUAUUGCAUUUCGUUUUGCGAUCCUUGAAAUAUAUGAGAGGAGAUAAUAUGACUUCUCCAAAAUAAAUGAAAUAUUGGAGUAAAAUGUUAAAAUCAAAUAUUUGAUUUUAUUCGGAUUUUAUUGAUAUUUUAUUUCCAUAGGAAAAAUAUGCGUUUUCCGAAAUUGCAUAAUAGGCCCAAAUAAAUGUUCACCUUGUCCGGCAUAUUUUUAGAGGACGGGGAAAAUUAAUUUCAGGAUUUUUGGAGUCCGUUUAGUAUUUAUUUUCUUUCUUUUUCUACACGUCGGAUUGUUUAAAAAAAAGGUGUAACUCACUCCGGGCCGUACCCGGCCAGGACACCUUGGGCCGGCCUUUUUAAGCCGCGACCCCGGGGCCCCGACACCCCAGCCGCCCCGCGCCCCCUCGAAAACCCUAGCUCGAGUCGCCGCCUCGCCGCCCGCGCCGCCGGAGCCCGCCGCCGCCUCGNNNNNNNNNNNNNNNNNNNNNNNNNNNNNNNNNNNNNNNNNNNNNNNNNNNNNNNNNNNNNNNNNNNNNNNNNNNNNNNNNNNNNNNNNNNNNNNNNNNNNNNNNNNNNNNNNNNNNNNNNNNNNNNNNNNNNNNNNNNNNNNNNNNNNNNNNNNNNNNNNNNNNNNNNNNNNNNNNNNNNNNNNNNNNNNNNNNNNNNNNNNNNNNNNNNNNNNNNNNNNNNNNNNNNNNNNNNNNNNNNNNNNNNNNNNNNNNNNNNNNNNNNNNNNNNNNNNNNNNNNNNNNNNNNNNNNNNNNNNNNNNNNNNNNNNNNNNNNNNNNNNNNNNNNNNNNNNNNNNNNNNNNNAGCCGCCCCGCCGGAGCCCGCCGCCGCCUCGCCGCCUCGCCGGAAUCCCGCCGGACUCGAGGCAGCCGUCGCCGGUUUUUCUUUUAAAACCUUUUUUUAAAAACACUAGUUCGGUUUUUUAGAUCGGUUCGUCGGUUUUCUCGGUUAGUUUUAUUUAGCGGACGUUCGUCCGUACGUUCGUUUUAACGAACGGUUUUCGCCCGUUAGUCGCAGACAGUGAACGUUCGUUCGUUAGCCUUUUCGUCAGUUUUUCUUUUUCUCGGAUUUUUCGCGAUUAUUUUCGAUUGCGAUUUCUGAUCUGAUUUUCAUUUUAGUUUAUCUUUUCGCUCGUUUAUCGGAAUCAGGCGAUUCAAGCGCCUAGAUCUUCGUCUCGAAGCCCUCUUUCUGCUUAACCAACCUGAACAAGAUUUUGGUAUUGUAAAAUUUGACUUUAGUCCAGAUUAGUAAACGGAUCUUGUUUCUUUCGUAGUUUGAGUUUCGUUGCUCCGUUUGAUUUGAUUCUUUUUGCAAACCGGAGUUCUUAAGUUGAACUUUCUGGUUAGAUCUUCUUAUUUGAGUUUUACCCGUGCAUCUUCGCUUGAUUGCUUAUGUAUGCUAUUGUUUGUUUGCGAUAGAAUUCCCGGAGUGCGAAGCGUGCUACUACGAGUCUCUAGGUUUUGCGGAUCGUCAGCAAGGCUAGUAACACAUUGAUCAUACUCUUUUCAUACCCAGUUUUAUGCAUUAGUUCCAAUCCUCAAACACUGCAUGAUUAGGAUGUGAUUAACUUGUGGGUAUUGGGAAGUAGUUGAUGAGGUAGAACCUAUUACCUGUUUUAUUACCAAACCCUCGGGAGUUACUUGUACGUUAUGCUUAUAUUGCCAUGCUAUGCUUGUAGACGUGGAUUGGGUUUGAGUGUAUCCAUGACAGAUGUGAGUUGUUAAUUAAUGGUUCAACUUAAGGUGUCUACUUUAAUACACAUCUGGGUGGAUUGCUUGUUUGGGCACCUGGGGAAUCCAGUGUUGUCCUAGGAGAUCCCGGGGCAUCCGUGUGAUCAUCCUACGGUCCGCCACCCAGGCUCAAAGGGGUCGUGAGAUUAUUCAUGCUAGAAACUUCCGUGUGCAGCCACAAGCUAUUAUGGGCUCUAGCAUAGUUUGAGUAAGUUGCAUGACCUCUUCCAGUGGUAGGCUAGCAGAUGUAGGGGAUGUAGGUUGGUACUGUCUACCCAGGGUUAGAGUUAACGCUUCUGAAAGACUGUGUCUCGGUCAUCCGUUUCUCAAACACCAUGUAGUGCGAGAAAUCCAACGGAGGAGAUCGAGUCUAGUGGGGAAAAGUGCGCAAACCUCUGUAGAGUGUACUAUCUAAUCAUGGUUAGCCGUGUCCCCGGUUAUGGACAUCUUGAGUAUCUAGUACUUGGAUUAUCCUAUCGCAUCUCAUCACUCUAAAUUAAUAUGUUGGGUUGUUAAUGAUUACUUUAAUUGGGAUUGAUAUGGGGGUACCAUUCUCAAUGCUUCAACUACCAUGAUAGUCAAAUAAAAUUUAUCCUUUGUUGUAGGGAAAAAUUUGCUUUUCGCAAAAAACUAUAUAACCAUAGAGCCUCCACCAGCCAUAUAUGCAUGUAGUGAUAACAUUUAUUCUGUUCAUUGCUCUACUGUGUUACAUUGCCAGCAUAUUCCAUGUGCUGACCCGUUUUCGGGCUGCAACGUAUUAUGUUGCAGACUUUUCAGAUGAGGAGUAAGGUUCGCUAGGUCGUUGUCGUGCAGCUCAGCUAUGCCGUUGGAGUUGAUGGACUCACUUUAUCUUCCAAGCCUUCCGCUGUUAUCGUUUUAGAUGGCCUUAAGCCAUAUUUAUUGUAAUAAGUUCUCUUCUGAGAUAUUCGAUGUAAUAAGUGUGUGAUUGCCACUCUGUUAUAAAUCCUUCGAGUA
RNAcentral lists this long non-coding RNA (35807 nucleotides) under Triticum aestivum (bread wheat). RNAcentral describes it as "long non-coding RNA (TAES_LNC024067)". The record is from RNAcentral. Lineage: Eukaryota; Viridiplantae; Streptophyta; Magnoliopsida; Poales; Poaceae.